This 499-nucleotide unclassified non-coding RNA is filed under the name Hevea brasiliensis (rubber tree). Lineage: Eukaryota; Viridiplantae; Streptophyta; Magnoliopsida; Malpighiales; Euphorbiaceae. The record is from RNAcentral.
GGAAUUCUUUUUGGGGCUACUAUUCUUGCUGCUUUGGUCAUAGACAUGGUUGCAUUGGCAACGUUGCAUGUGUCAUCACUUCACUGUGCAAUCUCACUCUUGUAUUCAUGGCAGAUUCAGACAUUAGCUGCUCUGUGGCGUCUUUUCAGGGGUCGAAAGUGGAAUCCUCUUCGUCAGAGAUUAGAUAGCUAUAACUACACCGUAAAGCAGCAUGUUGUUGGAUCCCUUCUGUUUACACCACUUUUACUAUUGUUACCAACAACUUCUGCUUUCUACAUUUUCUUCACCAUUUUGAACACAGCCAUCACCUUCAUUCGUGUGUUGAUUGAAGUUGUUAUAUCAGUGAUCCAUGGUACACCUUAUAUUAAAAUUUUCCUUAGGUUGGCAAGGCAGAGAAGAUUUCCCUCUGGGAUAUGGUUUGAAAUUGUAUCUUGUAAUGGUGGUUAUCAGGAGUUUUCAUGUCUUCAUGAAGUCAGUUCAUCAUCUGAAAAUUCACGGC